RNAcentral lists this ribosomal RNA (465 nucleotides) under uncultured bacterium. RNAcentral describes it as "bacterial SSU rRNA". It matches the Rfam family "Bacterial small subunit ribosomal RNA", at positions 917 to 1382 of the family's 1533-position model. The record is from RNAcentral.
GGACCCGCACAAGCGGUGGAUUAUGUGGAUUAAUUCGAUGCAACGCGAAAAACCUUACCUACCCUUGACAUGUCCUGAAUCCUGGAGAGAUCCGGGAGUGCCCGAAAGGGAACGGGAACACAGGUGCUGCAUGGCUGUCGUCAGCUCGUGUCGUGAGAUGUUGGGUUAAGUCCCGCAACGAGCGCAACCCUUGCCAUUAGUUGCUACAUUCAGUUGGGCACUCUAAUGGGACUGCCGGUGACAAACCGGAGGAAGGUGGGGAUGACGUCAAGUCCUCAUGGCCCUUAUGGGUAGGGCUUCACACGUAAUACAAUGGUCGGUACAGAGGGUUGCCAAAGCGCGAGCUGGAGCCAAUCCCAGAAAGCCGAUCGUAGUCCGGAUUGCAGUCUGCAACUCGACUGCAUGAAGUCGGAAUCGCUAGUAAUCGCGGAUCAGCAUGUCGCGGUGAAUACGUUCCCGGGUCUU